UACGUAGGGUGCGAGCGUUAAUCGGAAUUACUGGGCGUAAAGCGUGCGCAGGCGGCUUUGCAAGACAGAUGUGAAAUCCCCGGGCUCAACCUGGGAACUGCAUUUGUGACUGCAAGGCUAGAGUACGGCAGAGGGGGAUGGAAUUCCGCGUGUAGCAGUGAAAUGCGUAGAUAUGCGGAGGAACACCAAUGGCGAAGGCUAUCCCCUGGGCCUGUACUGACGCUCAUGCACGAAAGCGUGGGGAGCAAACAGG
RNAcentral lists this ribosomal RNA (253 nucleotides) under uncultured bacterium. RNAcentral's name for it is "partial 16S ribosomal RNA". It matches the Rfam family "Bacterial small subunit ribosomal RNA", at positions 524 to 776 of the family's 1533-position model. The record is from RNAcentral.